This 253-nucleotide ribosomal RNA is filed under the name uncultured bacterium. RNAcentral describes it as "partial 16S ribosomal RNA". It matches the Rfam family "Bacterial small subunit ribosomal RNA", at positions 524 to 776 of the family's 1533-position model. The record is from RNAcentral.
UACGUAGGGUGCAAGCGUUGUCCGGAAUUAUUGGGCGUAAAGAGCUCGUAGGCGGUUUGUCGCGUCGAAUGUGAAAUCCCGGGGCUCAACCCCGGGCCUGCAUUCGAUACGGGCAGACUAGAGUUCGGUAGGGGAGUCUGGAAUUCCUGGUGUAGCGGUGAAAUGCGCAGAUAUCAGGAGGAACACCGGUGGCGAAGGCGGAUCUCUGGGCCUUACCUGACGCUCAGGUGCGAAAGCUAGGGGAGCGAACAGG